RNAcentral lists this ribosomal RNA (1250 nucleotides) under uncultured Moraxella sp. RNAcentral describes it as "bacterial SSU rRNA". It matches the Rfam family "Bacterial small subunit ribosomal RNA", at positions 109 to 1360 of the family's 1533-position model. The record is from RNAcentral. Lineage: Bacteria; Pseudomonadati; Pseudomonadota; Gammaproteobacteria; Moraxellales; Moraxellaceae.
AGUAACAUUUAGGAAUCUGCCUAGUAGUGGGGGAUAGCUCGGGGAAACUCGAAUUAAUACCGCAUACGACCUACGGGUGAAAGGGGGCGCAAGCUCUUGCUAUUAGAUGAGCCUAAAUCAGAUUAGCUAGUUGGUGGGGUAAAGGCCCACCAAGGCGACGAUCUGUAACUGGUCUGAGAGGAUGAUCAGUCACACCGGAACUGAGACACGGUCCGGACUCCUACGGGAGGCAGCAGUGGGGAAUAUUGGACAAUGGGGGCAACCCUGAUCCAGCCAUGCCGCGUGUGUGAAGAAGGCCUUUUGGUUGUAAAGCACUUUAAGCAGGGAGGAGAGGCUAAUGGUUAAUACCCAUUAGAUUAGACGUUACCUGCAGAAUAAGCACCGGCUAACUCUGUGCCAGCAGCCGCGGUAAUACAGAGGGUGCGAGCGUUAAUCGGAAUUACUGGGCGUAAAGCGAGUGUAGGUGGCUCAUUAAGUCACAUGUGAAAUCCCCGGGCUUAACCUGGGAACUGCAUGUGAUACUGGUGGUGCUAGAAUAUGUGAGAGGGAAGUAGAAUUCCAGGUGUAGCGGUGAAAUGCGUAGAGAUCUGGAGGAAUACCGAUGGCGAAGGCAGCUUCCUGGCAUAAUAUUGACACUGAGAUUCGAAAGCGUGGGUAGCAAACAGGAUUAGAUACCCUGGUAGUCCACGCCGUAAACGAUGUCUACUAGCCGUUGGGGUCCUUGAGACUUUAGUGGCGCAGUUAACGCGAUAAGUAGACCGCCUGGGGAGUACGGCCGCAAGGUUAAAACUCAAAUGAAUUGACGGGGGCCCGCACAAGCGGUGGAGCAUGUGGUUUAAUUCGAUGCAACGCGAAGAACCUUACCUGGUCUUGACAUAGUGAGAAUCCUGCAGAGAUGCGGGAGUGCCUUCGGGAAUUCACAUACAGGUGCUGCAUGGCUGUCGUCAGCUCGUGUCGUGAGAUGUUGGGUUAAGUCCCGCAACGAGCGCAACCCUUUUCCUUAUUUGCCAGCGGGUUAAGCCGGGAACUUUAAGGAUACUGCCAGUGACAAACUGGAGGAAGGCGGGGACGACGUCAAGUCAUCAUGGCCCUUACGACCAGGGCUACACACGUGCUACAAUGGUAGGUACAGAGGGUUGCUACACAGCGAUGUGAUGCUAAUCUCAAAAAGCCUAUCGUAGUCCGGAUUGGAGUCUGCAACUCGACUCCAUGAAGUCGGAAUCGCUAGUAAUCGCGGAUCAGAAUGCCGC